GACGAACGCUGGCGGUAUGCUUAACACAUGCAAGUCGAACGAGAAGUCUUUUAUUGAACCUUCGGGGGAUAUAAGAGACAGACAGUGGCGAACGGGUGAGUAACGCGUGGGCAACCUAUCUAUCGGAGCGGGAUAGCCUCGAGAAAUCGGGAGUAAAACCGCAUAACACGGAUAUAUCGCAUGAUGAAUCCGUCAAAACUCCGGUGCCGAUAGAUGGGCCCGCGUCUGAUUAGCUAGUUGGUAAGGUAAGGGCUUACCAAGGCAACGAUCAGUAGCCGGUCUGAGAGGGCGAACGGCCACACUGGAACUGAGACACGGUCCAGACUCCUACGGGAGGCAGCAGUGGGGAAUAUUGCGCAAUGGGGGCAACCCUGACGCAGCAAUACCGCGUGAGUGAAGAAGGUUUUCGGAUCGUAAAGCUCUGUUAUUGGGGAAGAAGCAGGACGGUACCCU
This 453-nucleotide ribosomal RNA is filed under the name Pseudoramibacter alactolyticus. Its description in RNAcentral is "bacterial SSU rRNA". It matches the Rfam family "Bacterial small subunit ribosomal RNA", at positions 28 to 481 of the family's 1533-position model. Lineage: Bacteria; Bacillati; Bacillota; Clostridia; Eubacteriales; Eubacteriaceae. The record is from RNAcentral.